Molecule: long non-coding RNA, 286 nt
Organism: Haliotis rubra (blacklip abalone)
Lineage: Eukaryota; Metazoa; Mollusca; Gastropoda; Lepetellida; Haliotidae
Exons: 2
Source: RefSeq, a predicted model, not a curated record
AGUGGCACAACAACCAGUGGCACAACCACAACUAGUGGUACUACGACCAGUGGCACAACUACAACCAGCGGUACAACAACCAGUGGCACAACUACAACUAGUGGUACAACAACCAGUGGCACAACUACAACUAGUGGUACAACAACCAGUGGCAGAACUACGACUAGUGGCACAACUACCAGUGGCAAAACAACAACUAGUGGUACAACAACCAGUGGCACAACUACAACUAGUGGUACAACAACCAGUGGCACAACUACAACUAGUGGUACAACAACCAGUGGCA